UACGUAGGGUGCAAGCGUUGUCCGGAAUUAUUGGGCGUAAAGAGCUCGUAGGCGGUUUGUCGCGUCUGCUGUGAAAACUCGGGGCUUAACUCCGGGCCUGCAGUGGGUACGGGCAGACUAGAGUGCGGUAGGGGAGACUGGAAUUCCUGGUGGAGCGGUGAAAUGCGUAGAUAUCAGGAGGAACGCCGGCGGCGAAAGCGACUCUCUGGCCUGUAACUGACGCUGAGGCGCGAAAGCUAGGGGAGCAAACGGG
RNAcentral lists this ribosomal RNA (253 nucleotides) under uncultured bacterium. Its description in RNAcentral is "partial 16S ribosomal RNA". It matches the Rfam family "Bacterial small subunit ribosomal RNA", at positions 524 to 776 of the family's 1533-position model. The record is from RNAcentral.